CACUGGGACUGAGACACGGCCCAGACUCCUACGGGAGGCAGCAGUGGGGAAUUUUGGACAAUGGGGGCAACCCUGAUCCAGCCAUGCCGCGUGUCUGAAGAAGGCCUUCGGGUUGUAAAGGACUUUUGUCAGGGAGGAAAUCCCUAAGGUUAAUACCCUUGGGGGAUGACAGUACCUGAAGAAUAAGCACCGGCUAACUACGUGCCAGCAGCCGCGGUAAUACGUAGGGUGCAAGCGUUAAUCGGAAUUACUGGGCGUAAAGCGUGCGCAGGCGGUUUGAAAAGUCAGCUGU
This 292-nucleotide ribosomal RNA is filed under the name Laribacter hongkongensis. Its description in RNAcentral is "partial 16S ribosomal RNA". It matches the Rfam family "Bacterial small subunit ribosomal RNA", at positions 311 to 595 of the family's 1533-position model. The record is from RNAcentral. Lineage: Bacteria; Pseudomonadati; Pseudomonadota; Betaproteobacteria; Neisseriales; Aquaspirillaceae.